UGGAAGACCACCGCAUUGAUUCUUUUGACAACAACAGCUGAGUGGCUACCCCAAACUGCAUGAUAACAGUGCCUAAAACUAGUUGCUGCUCUAACAAGGCAGAUUCCCCGCAAUCAUGAAACCUCAUUGGUGACAUCAACGAGAUAAGACUCAAGGACUGUCAGAAAAGAGAAUUAACCUUUUGGCCCGUCAAGACCUCAACACAGACAGCAGUCAAUACAAGGUUCACCAGCUGACCUCUAAUCAAGACACCCAUGUCAACCGGAUUCCCACUGUGGAGAUGAGCAAUGCCACAUCAGUUUCUACUUCUACUUUGUCCUUUUCCAAAAAUGAAAGGACACAUCCGUCAGUUAUACGAGAUUGUUAUAGGCUGUGCUUUGGACAAUCUGAAUGAUUCUGUUGAGCCAUUUCCGUAGAGAGCACAUUCACCUUGUCAUCAUGACAAACGUGCCCCCUUAAACUGUGUGAAUAUAUAAAGUGUAAUUUGGAAAGUGUAAAAUAAUAUUGUUGAUAUUGUAAACAUACUGUAAUUUAAUAUUAGGCUAUAUUGUUGUAUGAGUGAAAUGACAAGUAUUUUGUCGUCUCUGCUCUGCCUAACCCCAUUGAAUAUUGUAAAUAUCAAAAGUAAGCUUUGGCAAUAUGUAUAUUGUUACGUCAUGCCAAUAAAGAUAAUUGAAUUGAGA
Long non-coding RNA from Salvelinus fontinalis (brook trout), 683 nucleotides. RefSeq lists it as uncharacterized. NCBI's taxonomy places the organism in Eukaryota, Metazoa, Chordata, Actinopteri, Salmoniformes, Salmonidae. The record is from RefSeq and is a predicted model, not a curated record. The transcript is spliced from 2 exons.